This 365-nucleotide ribosomal RNA is filed under the name uncultured Acholeplasma sp. RNAcentral's name for it is "bacterial SSU rRNA". It matches the Rfam family "Bacterial small subunit ribosomal RNA", at positions 1006 to 1382 of the family's 1533-position model. Lineage: Bacteria; Bacillati; Mycoplasmatota; Mollicutes; Acholeplasmatales; Acholeplasmataceae. The record is from RNAcentral.
AGUGGAGGUUAUCAAGGAGACAGGUGGUGGCAUGGUUGUCGUCAGCUCGUGUCGUGAGAUGUUGGUUAAGUCCCGCAACGAGCGCAACCCUUAUUGCUAGUUACCAUCAUUAAGUUGGGGACUCUAGCGAGACUGCCAGUGAUAAACUGGAGGAAGGUGGGGAUGACGUCAAAUCAUCAUGCCCCUUAUGACCUGGGCUACAAACGUGAUACAAUGGCUGAAACAAAGGGCAGCGAAGCAGUGAUGUGGAGCGAAACCCAAAAAGCAGUCUCAGUUCGGAUUGAAGUCUGCAACUCGACUUCAUGAAGUUGGAAUCGCUAGUAAUCGUAGAUCAGAACGCUACGGUGAAUACGUUCUCGGGGUUU